GCUAGAGUCGGAGUUGUAACGCUCCACUGACUGAUAGAGCGACCGGCCGACCAUGGCGCCCGGAGUGGCCCGCGGGCCGACGCCGUACUGGAGGUUGCGCCUCGGUGGCGCCGCGCUGCUCCUGCUGCUCAUCCCGGUGGCCGCCGCGCAGGAGCCUCCCGGAGCGGCGGGAUUCCUGAACACUCGUUCUACGUGUCUUGAAGAAGGCUUGUUAUCAGCAGGGCUCAGGAAGAGAACCUUCAUUUGCUUGUUCUCAGAACACAAACAAAACCUGUGAAGAGUGCCUGAAGAACGUCUCCUGUCUUUGGUGCAACACUAACAAGGCUUGUCUGGACUACCCAGUUACAAGCGUCUUGCCACCUGCUUCCCUUUGUAAAUUGAGCUCUGCACGCUGGGG
RNAcentral lists this small RNA (397 nucleotides) under Pongo abelii (Sumatran orangutan). RNAcentral describes it as "processed transcript". The record is from RNAcentral. Lineage: Eukaryota; Metazoa; Chordata; Mammalia; Primates; Hominidae.